RNAcentral lists this long non-coding RNA (473 nucleotides) under Musa acuminata (dwarf banana). RNAcentral describes it as "long non-coding RNA (MACU_LNC000954)". The record is from RNAcentral. Lineage: Eukaryota; Viridiplantae; Streptophyta; Magnoliopsida; Zingiberales; Musaceae.
UGUGAUCUUGGGAACACAAAAACUCAAACGACCUCAACACAUGAAACCAUAUGUAAUCUGAUUCAUUCAUUUCAAUUGUCAAGCAAGAGAGAGAAAGUGAAGUAGAGCUGUAGACACAAUCAUCACAAAGAACUGUUAGGCUUUAUGUCAAAGGUAGCAGCAACAGCAGCAGUAGGUCAACCAUUAAGCAAAAAUAUCGGCACGUGAAAUCAUAUGUAAUCGAAGAUGCCAACUGUUGGUGAAAACUUUACUGAUUUAUCGUAAGAUUUUGAACUCGAAUUCUGUCUUCGCCACUUAUGAUUGAUUGAUUAUUUCAACUAUCAGAGGAAGUGAAGCAAAGCUCAUCUAACCAUCACAGAGAACUGUUUGGCUUUAUGACAAGGUAGCAGCAGUAGUAGUAGUAGUAGUAGCAGGUCAUUCUCCAUAGACAUAUAGUGAGGAAGUGUAUGGGGCUUUAGUGGGCGGGCCAGAGG